Molecule: ribosomal RNA, 291 nt
Filed under: Triticum aestivum (bread wheat)
Lineage: Eukaryota; Viridiplantae; Streptophyta; Magnoliopsida; Poales; Poaceae
Description: partial small subunit ribosomal RNA
Source: RNAcentral
AUGUCCAACUUCUGGUGGGGAUUUGAAAAUAGAAAGAAGAAGCUUCACUGGAUAUCAUGGAAGUGGUUGUCUGCACCAAAACAUCUUGGUGGUAUGGGCUUUCGCGAUAUGGCGAUCUUUAACCAAGCUAUGCUCGGGAAACAAUGCUGGAGAUUGACUGAACCUAAUUCAUUGUGUGGCCGAGUGUUGAAGGGACCCUACUUUCCUGAUGGGGAUUUCUGGAGUGCGCAAUGCCCAAGAUCAUCUUCUUAUACAUGGCGCAGUAUCAUGCAUGGCAAGAAAUUGCUAUAG